UGGUCAAUGCUGGUGCCAUUGUUGUCAGCUCCCUGAUCAAGAUGGACUGUAACAAAGCAGAGAAGUUUGAUUUUGUGUUGCAGUAUCUCAACAAAAUGGCUGGGAAUGAAUACAUGGGUUUCAGCAAUGCCACAUUCCAGUCAGAGAAGGAAACAGGGGAUCGGAAUUAUGCCAUCGGCUAUUAUCUCAAGGAAAAGAAGUGCUUUCCUAAGGGGGUGGACAUGAUGGCUGCCCUUGAUCUCUACUUCCAGCUGUGCUCUGUGGAGGUCACUUGUGAAUCAGGCAGUGUCAUGGCAGCCACCCUCGCCAAUGGUGGGAUCUGCCCCAUCACAGGCGAGAGUGUGCUGAGUGCUGAAGCAGUGCGCAACACCCUCAGCCUCAUGCAUUCCUGCGGCAUGUAUGACUUCUCUGGCCAGUUUGCCUUCCACGUGAGUUUCUGGCUCUGCUAUCCAUCUGUCAUGAGCCCAGUGCUAAGAAGAGAGAACACUGACUCUCUCAAGAUAGAGGUGGAAGCUUGUUCCUGCCUCUCAUUCACUAACUUCCAGGAAGGCAAUUAGGUUGAGACU
Molecule: small RNA, 566 nt
Filed under: Pan troglodytes (chimpanzee)
Lineage: Eukaryota; Metazoa; Chordata; Mammalia; Primates; Hominidae
Also listed under: 1 other name
Description: retained intron
Source: RNAcentral